This 750-nucleotide ribosomal RNA is filed under the name bacterium. RNAcentral's name for it is "bacterial SSU rRNA". It matches the Rfam family "Bacterial small subunit ribosomal RNA", at positions 31 to 779 of the family's 1533-position model. The record is from RNAcentral.
GGGGAGUGGCGCAUGCUUAACAUGCAGUCGAACGGCAGCACGGGUGCUUGCACCUGGUGGCGAGUGGCGAACGGGUGAGUAAUACAUCGGAACAUGUCCUGUAGUGGGGGAUAGCCCGGCGAAAGCCGGAUUAAUACCGCAUACGAUCUACGGAAGAAAGCGGGGGACCUUCGGGCCUCGCGCUAUAGGGUUGGCCGAUGGCUGAUUAGCUAGUUGGUGGGGUAAAGGCCUACCAAGGCGACGAUCAGUAGCUGGUCUGAGAGGACGACCAGCCACACUGGGACUGAGACACGGCCCAGACUCCUACGGGAGGCAGCAGUGGGGAAUUUUGGACAAUGGGCGAAAGCCUGAUCCAGCAAUGCCGCGUGUGUGAAGAAGGCCUUCGGGUUGUAAAGCACUUUUGUCCGGAAAGAAAUCCUGAGGGCUAAUAUCCUUCGGGGAUGACGGUACCGGAAGAAUAAGCACCGGCUAACUACGUGCCAGCAGCCGCGGUAAUACGUAGGGUGCGAGCGUUAAUCGGAAUUACUGGGCGUAAAGCGUGCGCAGGCGGUUUGCUAAGACCGAUGUGAAAUCCCCGGGCUCAACCUGGGAACUGCAUUGGUGACUGGCAGGCUAGAGUAUGGCAGAGGGGGGUAGAAUUCCACGUGUAGCAGUGAAAUGCGUAGAGAUGUGGAGGAAUACCGAUGGCGAAGGCAGCCCCCUGGGCCAAUACUGACGCUCAUGCACGAAAGCGUGGGGAGCAACAGGAGA